Molecule: ribosomal RNA, 1429 nt
Filed under: Triticum aestivum (bread wheat)
Lineage: Eukaryota; Viridiplantae; Streptophyta; Magnoliopsida; Poales; Poaceae
Description: partial small subunit ribosomal RNA
Source: RNAcentral
GAGGUGCACACAACGGGAAGGUGUCCAGUCUGAGCCGAGCUGGGACUUCGACGAGGCAGCCGCGCGUCGGACGAGGCGCCGGCGUAGGUGGCUGGUCUCGUGGUCUCCCAUGUGGCGGGCGAGCAGAGGAGGUCGGGGGGGAGGGCUGGCGGCCGCUACUCGCCGCCUGAAGGCCCAAAGGCAUGCGUUGGAUAGCGGGGACUAAUGAAAGGGGAUUUUGACUUAGCUUCAGAGCUAAGGGGAGAACCGAAAGGAAGAGGAACGAACAGAUGACGACAUCGAGCGUCGUAGCCAUCACGCUAGACUGGUCGUCCGGGCUAAACGAGACGACGUCUGUUACGCGGCCACAGCUCCCGGCACCAGCAGCGGCGGCGCGAGAAGAGGCAGGGCAAGCCGGAGGCGAGGGCGAAGGAGCUGGAUCCGGACAGGGUGGUCUUAGAAAUGUUUUUAGACGCCUAUACCUCCCACUAACGGAGCAACAAACGGAAGAGCAGUAGCGGACUCGAGUAGAAACCCCACCGGAACGAGAUGAUGAAGUCCCACAAGCUCGCAGUCUAUCCAAGUUUGUUCAUACGACACAAGUAUCAGAAGAGGUACUGCCACAGACAUGACGAAGUCUAGGAUCGAAAUCCAAUAGACUUUCUAGGUAGAAAGUUAGGUAAUUGUAGACCUGGUAUACCGGAGUAUAAACGUAGAAUACAUGGGAAGAAGAAACUGUAAGGGUAGAGUUGUUUCAAAGCGUAUAAACCUGACGUUAAUACACUGUUCAGUAAGCAUAUAAACCGUCCCGAGGUCGAAGAAAAGAGUAGACCUUCUGCAAGACAAUAUGGACCUGACAGACCAUAUAACCGACCCGAAAACAUGGCAGACUUAUAUAAACCAUAGGCGUCCGAUUUCCAGGGUCUCAUACAUUGAAGUAACAAAAGUGCCAAUAGUACCGGGAAGAGAUUGUUGAGAAUAGUUUCUAACGGUUAACGUUGUUGACUACUCUUGUAAGGAGUAGCGGUCUGAGUAGUUUACGUCCCGUGCGUGUGUUGAUGGGGUCUAGGUUGCCUCAGCAGUUAACAGUGCGAACAAAGGUACCCAAAACUGGGACGAAGACGUUAAGUCCGAGAACGUGACUGUUUAUUACUGCAUUUAAAUCGGAGCUUGUAGGACGAACUUCGUGUUAGCUGUAUCUUUGUUGUAGGGUCCGACUUCUGGCUAUGAAACAUUUACACUUCGUACAUCAAUUGCAUAAGAAGACCAAGUCUGAUAAAAGUCCUAAACAAUUAAACUUUUGAUGUAAGGUGCAUUCAAUCUUGUACCUUUUUGUUGCGUACCCUUGAGGGACGAUCUGACCACGCAACACAUUAUAUAGAGACAAACCCUUGAGUCGAUAUGACGUUUACUCAAUACGUAUCGUAUUUUUUACGUAGGAGGAUGGGUC